RNAcentral lists this ribosomal RNA (371 nucleotides) under uncultured bacterium. RNAcentral's name for it is "bacterial SSU rRNA". It matches the Rfam family "Bacterial small subunit ribosomal RNA", at positions 28 to 391 of the family's 1533-position model. The record is from RNAcentral.
GAUGAACGCUGGCGGCGUGCUUAACACAUGCAAGUCGAACGAAGCAGAUUGAGAUCUUCGGAAGGAUAUCUGACUGAGUGGCGGACGGGUGAGUAACGCGUGGGUAACCUGCCUCAUACAGGGGGAUAACAGUUAGAAAUGACUGCUAAUACCGCAUAAGCGCACGGUAUCGCAUGAUACGGUGUGAAAAACUCCGGUGGUAUGAGAUGGACCCGCGUCUGAUUAGCUAGUUGGUGGGGUAACGGCCUACCAAGGCGACGAUCAGUAGCGACCUGAGAGGUGACCGGCCACAUUGGGACUGAGACACGGCCCAAAACUCCUACGGGAGCAGCAGUGGGGAAUAUUGCACAAUGGGCGCAAGCCUGAUGCAG